Small nuclear RNA from Myotis lucifugus (little brown bat), 106 nucleotides. The record is from Ensembl. Lineage: Eukaryota; Metazoa; Chordata; Mammalia; Chiroptera; Vespertilionidae.
GUGCUCACUUUGGCAGCACAUAUACUAAAAUUGGGACAAUACAGAGAAGAUUAGUAUGGCUCCUGAGCAAGGAUGACUUGCAAAUUCGGAAGUGUUCCAUAUUUUU